RNAcentral lists this long non-coding RNA (229 nucleotides) under Elaeis guineensis (African oil palm). Its description in RNAcentral is "long non-coding RNA (EGUI_LNC075424)". Lineage: Eukaryota; Viridiplantae; Streptophyta; Magnoliopsida; Arecales; Arecaceae. The record is from RNAcentral.
UACCCCACAUUUCUUUUCCUUUGCUAAUUUUCUUUCAAACCAAAAAAAAAGGAAUAAUUCUAUCCUUUUUUUGCUUCUCAUUCUUUACUUCCCCAGAUUUCCUUCCUUCCACAUUAAUUCCUUUCGAAAAUAGUACUAUUGUUAAUCAUCAUUGUCCUAACAAAACUCAGAUUAUCUACUACUGAUGAUUGGACUAUGGACUCAGCCAUAUUGUUGCAGUGCAAUAGGA